ACGGAGAGUUUGAUCGUGGCUCAGGAUGAACGCUGGCGGCGUGCCUAAUACAUGCAAGUCGAGCGAUGAGGCCCCUUCGGGGGUACAUCAGCGGCGAACGGGUGAGUAACACGUGGGUGACCUACCCCGAAGACGGGGAUAACCCUUGGAAACGAGGGCUAAUACCCGAUGUGCUCGGCAGUUCGUUCUGUCGAGUAAAGCUCCGGCGCUUCGGGAUGGGCCUGCGGCCCAUCAGCUAGUUGGCGGGGUAACGGCCCACCAAGGCGAAGACGGGUAGGGGGCGUGAGAGCGCGGUCCCCCACACUGGCACUGAGACACGGGCCAGACUCCUACGGGAGGCAGCAGUCGGGGAUAUUGCACAAUCGGCGCAAGCCGGAUGCAGCGACGCCGCGUGGGCGAGGAAGGCCUUCGGGUUGUAAAGCCCUUUUCUGGGGGAAGAGGAAGGACGGUACCCCAGGAAUAAGCGUCGGCUAACUACGUGCCAG
RNAcentral lists this ribosomal RNA (485 nucleotides) under Anaerolineales bacterium. RNAcentral's name for it is "bacterial SSU rRNA". It matches the Rfam family "Bacterial small subunit ribosomal RNA", at positions 1 to 511 of the family's 1533-position model. The record is from RNAcentral. Lineage: Bacteria; Bacillati; Chloroflexota; Anaerolineae; Anaerolineales.